This 1356-nucleotide long non-coding RNA is filed under the name Heterocephalus glaber (naked mole-rat). RNAcentral describes it as "lncRNA (ENSHGLG00100051772.1)". Lineage: Eukaryota; Metazoa; Chordata; Mammalia; Rodentia; Bathyergidae. The record is from RNAcentral.
CUGGAAACCGGCCUCUCAGAUUCCCCUUACCUGAUUCAAAGAGCCUCUUUGGCCUAAAAGCCAACCCUGGCAGUGACCCGCACGCACACACGCACACACACACACACACACGCGCACACACCGACAGCAGCCUCGGAGGUCACUCUGGACGGAUUCCCUACACCACAGGUGAAGCCGGGAGCAGCUCUCACCGGGGCUGUGGGUGCGGUGGGCGGGCUGGGUGCGCACCCCACCUUCUCGCCUCUUGGGGACAGUGCUGCGGCGGAUUCCACGCGGUCUCGAGUGUCCUCAGCGAGACUGAGCCCCUGUGGCCCUCUGGACACCUGCUCAGGCACGAGCCCCGUACUCCCGUUGUACCCAAAUGCUCGCCUCAGGUCCGCUGGGGGGGAAACCCAAGCUCGAACGACUUCUUCCUGUUUUCUUCUGAAAAUUCCUGACUCUGUUCCCAUUCGUCUUUCUGCGUUUCAGGAGAGGCAGCACCCAGCCCAGCCAAGCCCUGCCCCUCUCCUCUCCCGCCUCGCCUCGAACAGUCCCUUCCUCCUCCCGGUGCCUCCUCGCCUGCACAGGCUCCCACCACAGAUCCCGACCGGCCUCCGGGUGCCUCCGGGUUUCCCCUCCCUACCCAACCCCCGCCUUCAACUGCAGCCCCGCGGUGCGCGGCGAGGACGUUUCCACCAGCGACAGCCUGGCCUCCAAGGGUGCACCUGGUACCGCGCGGGUGUCCCGCGGCACACCCUCUGGGGGUGCGAGGGCUCUCGGUGGCCUCCACAGAGGACGUGAAGGGCCCGUUUCCCGGAACGGCCGUGCCGCUCAGCCGCUCAGCCGCGCGCGGGACUGGGAGCCGCUUCAUUGACUCGUCUGCCCGGAGGAUCCCGCUGCUUCCUCACGUCCUGUAUCUUUCUAGAAACAUCCUGACCAUGACCCACAUGUGACACAGCUCAGCCAGUAGAUUGAGGCUUCCUGAGCAUAGAAGAGGAGGCUUACGGACCACCAUACCACUGCUCCCAGUGCAGAAGAGGUGAGCCACCUGGGCAUCAGCAGCACCGCACCCACCCCCUUAUCAAAAUGAGAAGACACAUAAACAAGUCUCAAAACCAGACUUCCAGAUCACCUACAGCAACCCCAAAGGGAAAUGAGAUGGAACACUCUGAUACUCAACCACCUGGACUCCCUGAACUGGUAACAAAAGAGAAUAUGGAAAAAGCAAGAGCAGCUAUCCUCUUUGCAGAUCAAGUGGAUUUCGAACCAACACUGAUUAAGAGAGACAAAGAAGGACACUACAUCCUUGUAAAGGGAACAAUCCAAGAGGAAGAGAUGACAAUCAUAAAUAUAUAUGCACCAAACACUAGUGCGCCC